This 68-nucleotide transfer RNA is filed under the name Felis catus (domestic cat). It matches the Rfam family "tRNA". Rfam says of the family: Transfer RNA (tRNA) molecules are approximately 80 nucleotides in length. Their secondary structure includes four short double-helical elements and three loops (D, anti-codon, and T loops). Lineage: Eukaryota; Metazoa; Chordata; Mammalia; Carnivora; Felidae. The record is from Rfam by way of RNAcentral. RNAcentral also lists the same sequence under 4 other names.
GCUGGCUCAGUCAGUAGAGCAUGUGACUCUUGAUCUCAGGGAUGUGAGUUCAAGUCUCGCAUUGGGCA